GACGAACGCUGGCGGUGUGCUUAACACAUGCAAGUCGAACGGUAAGGCCCUUUCGGGGGUACACGAGUGGCGAACGGGUGAGUAACACGUGAGUAACCUGCCCUCAUCUCUGGGAUAACAGUCGGAAACGGUUGCUAAUACUGGAUAUGAGCUUGCAAGGCAUCUUGUGGGUUGGAAAGAUUUUUUUUGGUUGGGGAUGGACUCGCGGCCUAUCAGCUUGUUGGUGAGGUAGUGGCUCACCAAGGCUUCGACGGGUAGCCGGCCUGGGAGGGCGACCGGCCACAUUGGGACUGAGAUACGGCCCAAACUCCUACGGGAGGCAGCAGUGGGGAAUAUUGCACAAUGGACGGAAGUCUGAUGCAGCAACGCCGCGUGCGGGAUGACGGCCUUCGGGUUGUAAACCGCUUUCAAUUGUGACGAAGCUUUUUUGUGACGGUAGCAGUAGAAGAAGCACCGGCUAACUACGUG
RNAcentral lists this ribosomal RNA (468 nucleotides) under uncultured bacterium. RNAcentral's name for it is "partial 16S ribosomal RNA". It matches the Rfam family "Bacterial small subunit ribosomal RNA", at positions 28 to 507 of the family's 1533-position model. The record is from RNAcentral.